UGGGGAAUAUUGGACAAUGGGCGCAAGCCUGAUCCAGCCAUGCCGCGUGAGUGAUGAAGGCCUUAGGGUUGUAAAGCUCUUUUGUCCGGGAAGAUAAUGACUGUACCGGAAGAAUAAGCCCCGGCUAACUUCGUGCCAGCAGCCGCGGUAAUACGAAGGGGGCUAGCGUUGCUCGGAAUCACUGGGCGUAAAGGGCGCGUAGGCGGACUUUUAAGUCGGAGGUGAAAGCCCAGGGCUCAACCCUGGAAUUGCCUUCGAUACUGGGAGUCUUGAGUUCGGAAGAGGUUGGUGGAACUGCGAGUGUAGAGGUGAAAUUCGUAGAUAUUCGCAAGAACACCGGUGGCGAAGGCGGCCAACUGGUCCGAAACUGACGCUGAGGCGCGAAAGCGUGGGGAGCAAACAG
This 403-nucleotide ribosomal RNA is filed under the name Caulobacter vibrioides. RNAcentral describes it as "partial 16S ribosomal RNA". It matches the Rfam family "Bacterial small subunit ribosomal RNA", at positions 355 to 775 of the family's 1533-position model. RNAcentral also lists the same sequence under 2 other names. The record is from RNAcentral. Lineage: Bacteria; Pseudomonadati; Pseudomonadota; Alphaproteobacteria; Caulobacterales; Caulobacteraceae.